UACGUAGGUGGCAAGCGUUGUUCGGAAUUACUGGGCGUAAAGGGCGCGUAGGCGGCCAUCUAAGUCAGACGUGAAAUCCCCCGGCUUAACCUGGGAACUGCGUCUGAUACUGGACGGCUUGAGUAUGGGAGAGGGAUGUAGAAUUCCAGGUGUAGCGGUGAAAUGCGUAGAUAUCUGGAGGAAUACCGGUGGCGAAGGCGGCAUCCUGGACCAUUACUGACGCUGAUGCGCGAAAGCUAGGGGAGCAAACGGG
RNAcentral lists this ribosomal RNA (253 nucleotides) under uncultured prokaryote. RNAcentral describes it as "partial 16S ribosomal RNA". It matches the Rfam family "Bacterial small subunit ribosomal RNA", at positions 524 to 776 of the family's 1533-position model. The record is from RNAcentral.